Molecule: unclassified non-coding RNA, 259 nt
Filed under: uncultured fungus
Lineage: Eukaryota; Fungi
Description: sequence contains ITS2
Rfam family: 5.8S ribosomal RNA (bases 1-52)
Source: RNAcentral
AACGCAUCUUGCGCUCUCUGGUAUUCCGGAGAGCAUGUCUGUUUGAGUGUCACGUUUCUCUCACCCCUCAUCACUUGCUUUGGCUUGUUUUGAGCGUGUGGAUCUUGGCUGUUGGCUGCGCCUCUGUGCCAGGCCCCGCCGAAAUGAAGCUCCUUUAAUUUUUAGACCAUGAGCGCUAGAGUGUUGUAGUGCAAUCGCUCGAGCUCUAGGUCGAACUUGUCUCGACCUCAAAUCAGGCAGGAUUACCCGCUGAACUUAA